GGCACCAGCUGAGAGACAGAAUUUUUGGAAGAACUUAGGAAAGAAACUAAGAAAAGACAACAGCACACAGCAACAAGCUUUCCCAGGGGAGCAACAUCCAGGUCUGAGUGACACCCACUGUGGCCAUCAGUCAUCCGGGCCUCUCAUGUCACCGAGAACAUUAUGGUGGGCGCCUGUGAGCUCUUCCUGACCACCCAAGACUUCUAGGAUGCUUU
RNAcentral lists this long non-coding RNA (215 nucleotides) under Homo sapiens (human). RNAcentral's name for it is "BEAN1 antisense RNA 1". The record is from RNAcentral. Lineage: Eukaryota; Metazoa; Chordata; Mammalia; Primates; Hominidae.